UACGAAGGGGGCUAGCGUUGCUCGGAAUCACUGGGCGUAAAGAGCACGUAGGCGGAUUGCUAAGUCAGGGGUGAAAUCCUGGAGCUCAACUCCAGAACUGCCUUUGAUACUGGCAAUCUCGAGUCCGGGAGAGGUGAGUGGAACUGCGAGUGUAGAGGUGAAAUUCGUAGAUAUUCGCAAGAACACCAGUGGCGAAGGCGGCUCACUGGCCCGGUACUGACGCUGAGGCGCGAAAGCGUGGGGAGCAAACAGG
RNAcentral lists this ribosomal RNA (253 nucleotides) under uncultured bacterium. RNAcentral describes it as "partial 16S ribosomal RNA". It matches the Rfam family "Bacterial small subunit ribosomal RNA", at positions 524 to 776 of the family's 1533-position model. The record is from RNAcentral.